UACGUAGGGGGCAAGCGUUGUCCGGAAUUAUUGGGCGUAAAGAGCGCGUAGGCGGUCCGGUAAGUCGGUUGUGAAAGUCGGGGGCUCAACCCUCGAAUGCCGGUGGAUACUGUCGGGCUAGAGUGCGGAAGAGGCGAGUGGAAUUCCUGGUGUAGCGGUGAAAUGCGCAGAUAUCAGGAGGAACACCAAUUGCGAAGGCAGCUCGCUGGGACGUAACUGACGCUGAGACGCGAAAGCGUGGGGAGCAAACAGG
Molecule: ribosomal RNA, 253 nt
Filed under: uncultured bacterium
Lineage: Bacteria
Description: partial 16S ribosomal RNA
Rfam family: Bacterial small subunit ribosomal RNA
Source: RNAcentral